This is a non-coding RNA of Marvinbryantia formatexigens DSM 14469, 84 nucleotides long. Lineage: Bacteria; Bacillati; Bacillota; Clostridia; Lachnospirales; Lachnospiraceae. The record is from Rfam.
UUAUUUUGAGGUCGGAAAUGGUUCCCGAUACACUCCAUUUGAAGUACCUGAGAUGCUGGAUGAACCGCCCAGCCCCCAAUAUAU